GGGAAAACGGAAUAAUUACUGGACACAAAACUAGUCCAUCCCAGCACUGCUAUGGAAAUCAGUAUGUAAGAGGCAAACAAAUUGCAUCCGCCAUGGCUAAAGGUGGAAAUAGGAGGCCUGGAAAGUAUUCCCUCACGUUCUUCAGUCUGCCCACACGACAGGAAAGUUCCUCACACUGCACUCUCAAAACCAUUUAUCUGGAGUGACUCUCAUUUUACAAAUGAGGAAACUGGUAGAGAAUCUGAUGUCAGAAACAGCGCACGCCACGGUAUCAUGUGACUCUUCCAACCUAUAAAUGGAUAUCAGCAAGUCACUUUAUACAAAUCAGCAGCAGUCGCUCCAUCCACUCAAAAAUGCCAUUCAUGAAUCAGCAAAGGCAGUUCACACCAGAAGAAACCAUGAGGCUCUGCCAAUUGGCCUUAGUCCAUAGAAGCAGCAACAAGCUACCCGUGUGUGAGGAGCCGCCCUUGCAAUUGCCAUUACAAGAUGGCGCUGACAUCCGGUGUUCUAACUGGUAAACAAGUAGUCUGCGCAUGUGCUGGGGUAUUUUUCCAUUCCUUGUGCCCUGCCUGUCCCGUGGCGUCAUCUGGGCUGAUGGUGAGCAGCCAAUCAGGGUGAUGCAUGUCUCCAACCGUUCUUCAUGGUCUAUUUAAGGACCGGGUUUCCUGUGUUCUGGGUCUCCUCCCCAGAAGCUGAUCAUCUGUCUCUCGAGAUGCAUUAAAGCUUUACUGCAGAAGGAUCCGAGUGUCCUGUGUGUGUUCUUGCUGGCGAGACUAUAAUACGGGACACCCGUGGAAUAUCAUGAGAAGUUCUUUGGUGUUCUUCUCUCUAUGAAGUCAUGAAAAAUGAUGGUCAGCCAAGAAGCAAGUGCAAUGGUUACGAGAUGACUACAGAGGCUUCGGGCUAAGGACUUGUCCACCUACUCCUGCCAUGAUCCAGCACAACAGUCUAAAGACUCUGAAACAAGCAAACAAUUGGAUGUUCCCGAAGAUGACUUAGCUGGUCUCUGAGAAGGAUGGUCAGGAUCGAGCAUGAGUGGAGCUGAUGCCAGUUCUCUCUGGGACUCAUUUGUUUCCCUCCCUUAAACACUGUGUCUCUAAGUGUUUCUCACAAUCUAUUUUGAAUGGGUAGAACUGGGAGUAGUGAAGAGUCUUCAGAGCCAGUGAGAUGAAGAAACAAUCAACACAGUUUUUACACUUAAAAUCAGGACGAUAAUACUGGAGCAUAAAAUGACAUAUAAGCCCUGCUACCCACCUCAUUAAGAGAGAGCAAUACAAGUGUGUCAUGCAUGUAAGCUAUGGUCCUAGCGCAUGGCAUGUAUUACUAAAGUCCAAUCAAGGGUCCUCCUUUCUCUGCUUUGAUUAAAUGAAACACACACUUCCAUUUCAUUGCUUUGGAUAGUUUACAAAUGAUUGGUAUCAUAUUUAAUAUAACCUUGUUAUAAUAUAUAAUUAUUAAUUAAUAUAUAUUAUUGGUAUAAUAUAAUAUUUAAUGUGAUGUCUAGGAACAUUAUAUGAAUUUCUCAGAAGCAGCUUUGAAAGAACUAUGCUUUCAGUCUAUAGAAGUACUGGGUCAUAAGCACCUUAACCUUACUCAGUCACCAGCACUGACAGCCAAAUGCUGAGCUGCCUUGAGAUGUGAGUGCCACUGCUCUAGUAUCGCCUCCAACCGAGCAACAUCGACUUCAUCUCAGUUAUUUUGAUUUAUUGCCACAAUUACCUGUACUGAGUUCAAUGCCAUGCUAAUACUUGGGCUGAUGAAUUAUAAUAUGGACUUCAUUUUAUCGAAAUGUCACGUGUUCUAAUGUCCUGAUUUUUUUUUUUCUUGGCAGACAGUAGCAUCGCACUCAGUUUUAUGUGUUAACCUUGUUAGGUUUUAGUUUCCAGUCACUCAGUUUAAUGUUAGUCCAUAGGUUGCUGUGAAUGUAACUUGGAGAUAAGGCUACUGUCUAUAAAAGGCAUUAUCUUUGAUGAUGAUUUCAAUGGACCUCACCAAAUCAAUUGGUACAACUCAAGAGCAAAGCUGAGUUUCCAUUGGGGAAGAAGAAAUUGUCCUACAAAGCAACAUGCCAUGUUGGUUGCGAAUUUCUCUCUUUUGACCAGUCCUAUGAUAUGGCUAUGUCCUAUGUCAGGCUUGCUAGUUGCUAUGAUAACCAUGCAAAAUAUAUGUAAAUAUAAACAGACAUGGGGCUAGAGAUAGCUCAGCAGUAGGAGUAGUUGUUGCUCUUGCAAAGGACUAAGUUUCCAGUACCCAUAGGGUAUUUCAUAACUAUGCUAAACCCUAGUUUCAGGGCAUCCAGUGACCUCUUCUAACCUCCACAACCAUGCAGGUAAAAUGCUCAUACAUAUAAAACAAUCUAUAAUACAUUUAAAAAAUAUGCAGAGAUAUUAUGUAUAUGUCAUAUAUAUGUAUAUGCCAAUGUAUAAUUUUGUAGUAGAAUUUUGCAUGAUACAGAAUUUGGUGUUAAGAGUAGUUCUAGAGAACGACUAAAUAAAGGAGUUGACUCUUGA
This 2510-nucleotide long non-coding RNA is filed under the name Mus musculus (house mouse). RNAcentral's name for it is "predicted gene, 47415". The record is from RNAcentral. Lineage: Eukaryota; Metazoa; Chordata; Mammalia; Rodentia; Muridae.